AUUGUAGGCUGAAACUCGCCUAUAUGAAGUCGGAAGUUGCUAGUAAUCGCGGAUCAGCAUGCCGCGGUGAAUACGUUCCCGGGCCUUGUACACACCGCCCGUCACACCAUGAGAGUCGAUAACACCCGAAGCCUGUAGUCUAACCUUAGGGGGGACGCAGUCGAAGGUGGGAUUGAUAAUUAGGGGUGAAGUCGUAACAAGGUACC
RNAcentral lists this ribosomal RNA (206 nucleotides) under uncultured bacterium. RNAcentral describes it as "partial 16S ribosomal RNA". It matches the Rfam family "Bacterial small subunit ribosomal RNA", at positions 1297 to 1500 of the family's 1533-position model. The record is from RNAcentral.